Eurytemora carolleeae is the source of this 180-nucleotide long non-coding RNA. RefSeq lists it as uncharacterized. The record is from RefSeq and is a predicted model, not a curated record. Lineage: Eukaryota; Metazoa; Arthropoda; Copepoda; Calanoida; Temoridae. The transcript has 3 exons.
AGAAUCCGUGGACAAAAGAUGUAGCUGAUGCUGAUCCUCUGAAGGCUGAAAUGAUCGAAUUGAAGAGGAAGCUGGAUCUCUUGGUAACUAGUAUAAAUGAAAAGGAUAAGAGCUCGAAAGUCCAGCACAGGGAAAUAGUGAACAGAUUUCAUGAGGUUUGUCAGCCGAGGGAAGAGCAGG